GGGGCUGUAGCUCAGUGGCAGAGCGCUUGCCUCACACGUAUGAAGUACUGGGUUGGAUCUUCAGCACCA
This 69-nucleotide transfer RNA is filed under the name Ictidomys tridecemlineatus (thirteen-lined ground squirrel). RNAcentral describes it as "Spermophilus tridecemlineatus (thirteen-lined ground squirrel) tRNA". It matches the Rfam family "tRNA". From Rfam's summary of the family: Transfer RNA (tRNA) molecules are approximately 80 nucleotides in length. Lineage: Eukaryota; Metazoa; Chordata; Mammalia; Rodentia; Sciuridae. The record is from Rfam by way of RNAcentral.